UACGGAGGGGGCUAGCGUUGUUCGGAAUUACUGGGCGUAAAGCGCACGUAGGUGGCACAUCAAGUCAGGGGUGAAAGGCCUGGGCUCAACCUAGGAACGGCCUUUGAGACUGAUGAGCUAGAGUCCGGGAGAGGGCAGUGGAAUUCCCAGUGUAGAGGUGAAAUUCGUAGAUAUUGGGAAGAACACCAGUGGCGAAGGCGGCUGCCUGGCCCGGCACUGACACUGAGGUGCGAAAGCGUGGGGAGCAAACAGG
This 253-nucleotide ribosomal RNA is filed under the name uncultured bacterium. Its description in RNAcentral is "partial 16S ribosomal RNA". It matches the Rfam family "Bacterial small subunit ribosomal RNA", at positions 524 to 776 of the family's 1533-position model. The record is from RNAcentral.